CAGAAAGUUAGUCUAACCAAGAUA
RNAcentral lists this transfer RNA (24 nucleotides) under Caloenas nicobarica (Nicobar pigeon). Its description in RNAcentral is "partial tRNA-Arg". RNAcentral also lists the same sequence under 1 other name. The record is from RNAcentral. Lineage: Eukaryota; Metazoa; Chordata; Aves; Columbiformes; Columbidae.